CAAGGUUUCYGUAGGUGAACCUGCGGAAGGAUCAUUG
Molecule: ribosomal RNA, 37 nt
Filed under: Petrorhagia saxifraga
Lineage: Eukaryota; Viridiplantae; Streptophyta; Magnoliopsida; Caryophyllales; Caryophyllaceae
Also listed under: 1 other name
Description: partial 18S ribosomal RNA
Source: RNAcentral